GUUUCCUCUUAUCUCAGGGCUCGUGGCCCUUGGCGGACUCCGUCCCAGGCUCCGGGAUCGGAGCUCCGACGGUAACGGCGGCGGCGGCGGCUGAGACUCGGCGUUCUUGCGCCCCUCGCCUAGCGGCCGCAGCGGCCCAGUCACCUGCCCGGCCCGGGGCAAGGACUCGCGGAAGCGGAAGAGGGGUGCGGGCGCGGCCAGGGCGGUGGCGGCGGCUGCAGAAGGAGGAGGGAGACUGCGGGAGAGCCUUUGGCUGCCGCAAGAACUACGGAAGAGGCGGCUGAGCCGAGGCGGCCCCCGGCGCCCCCGCUUCUUGGUCAAAAAAAUAUUCUGGAUUCCAUUAUCCCUAUGUUUACAGAUGAAGAUUCUGAUGCUGAAAAAGUUAAGUGACUUCCUCAGGGUCACACAGCUAGUGAACGCCUGAAGUGGAAUCAAACACAAAUCUUGUUGCCUCAGGCUUUCAAGGAGAACUGUUAUUGAAGAUGGAUCCAUUUGGUCAGAUGUAGUAUUAAAGAAUGAAGAAAGAAAAAAAUUCCUAAUUAGUACUACAAAAAUUACAAGUAAUAGCCAUCUCAGCAAAUUUGAAAUUGGUAAGUUUACUAAGUUAAAUAUUUAUAGUUGUUAGUUGGUUAUUUUUUUAAAUCCUUGAUGAGAGUCCUCUUUGAUUAGUAUUUGUUAAGAUGAAGACUGAAAAAGCAUGAAUGGGAAGACAUAAACUGAUGCAGUGGAAAUAAUAAGGGACCUAGGAAAACAAUAAGGGCAUCCCCAAAAUCUUGGUAUAGUUGUAAG
RNAcentral lists this long non-coding RNA (789 nucleotides) under Monodelphis domestica (gray short-tailed opossum). Its description in RNAcentral is "lncRNA (ENSMODG00000032551.2)". The record is from RNAcentral. Lineage: Eukaryota; Metazoa; Chordata; Mammalia; Didelphimorphia; Didelphidae.